GCAUAUCAAUAAGCGGAGGAAAAGAAAAUAACAAUGAUUCCCCUAGUAACUGCGAGUGAAGAGGGAUAAGCUCAAAUUUUAAAUCUGUUUGGUUUUUACCAUGCAGAGUUGUAAUUUGAAGAAACGUUUUCUGUGUCUUGAAUUAAUUAAAAUCCUCUGGAAUGGGGUAUCAGUGAGGGUGACAGUCCCGUUCAUGGUUAAUUCUAAGACGCUUUAUGAUACGUUUUCGAAGAGUCGAGUUGUUUGGGAUUGCAGCUCAAAAUGGGAGGUAAAUUUCUCCUAAGGCUAAAUAUUGGCGAGAGACCGAUAGCGAACAAGUACCGUGAGGGAAAGAUGAAAAGAACUUUGAAAAGGGAGUAAAAUAGUACGUGAAAUUGUUGAAAGGGAAACGAUUGAAGUCAGUCGUACCGGCGGGAAAUCAGCUUCUCGAGUGGGGGUUCGCGGGUGCGUGGAGCUUCGGCCUUCGUCGCUUGUGACACCUUUUGCUUCUGGAGCGUACUUUUCCGUGUGGUAGGUCAACAUCGGUUUCGAUUGCCAUAAAAUGACCGGAGGAAUGUGGCUUCGAUCUUGUAUUGGAGUGUUAUAGCCUCUGGUAGAUGUGGUGGUUGGGAUCGAGGAUUGCAACGAAUACCCUUUGGGCUAUCCGCCUGACCUCUGAAAGUCGCUUGGGUACCGAAAGCUUGCUUACGGUCAUUUAAGUUGGCGGUCAAAAGGUUAGAACGUGAUUAAAUUCGUUAAGGAUGUUGACGUA
Molecule: ribosomal RNA, 751 nt
Filed under: uncultured Glomerales
Lineage: Eukaryota; Fungi; Glomeromycota; Glomeromycetes; Glomerales; Glomeraceae
Description: LSU rRNA
Rfam family: Eukaryotic large subunit ribosomal RNA
Source: RNAcentral